Molecule: ribosomal RNA, 253 nt
Filed under: uncultured bacterium
Lineage: Bacteria
Description: partial 16S ribosomal RNA
Rfam family: Bacterial small subunit ribosomal RNA
Source: RNAcentral
UACGAAGGGAGCUAGCGUUGUUCGGAAUCACUGGGCGUAAAGCGCACGUAGGCGGAUUUGCCAGUCAGGGGUGAAAUCCCGGGGCUCAACCUCGGAACUGCCUUUGAUACAGCAAGUCUUGAGUUCGAGAGAGGUGGGUGGAAUUCCUAGUGUAGAGGUGAAAUUCGUAGAUAUUAGGAAGAACACCGGUGGCGAAGGCGGCUCACUGGCCCGGUACUGACGCUGAGGAACGAAAGCCAGGGUAGCGAACGGG